Molecule: long non-coding RNA, 4134 nt
Organism: Cynocephalus volans (Philippine flying lemur)
Lineage: Eukaryota; Metazoa; Chordata; Mammalia; Dermoptera; Cynocephalidae
Exons: 5
Source: RefSeq, a predicted model, not a curated record
AUGAGAUGCAGAGAAGAUGGAGCUCAGUGCCUGGGUGUGUAGCCUGAGCCUGUAGGUGUGGCAGCUGUUACUAUUUUAGCAGCCACAGGACUAGUGAUAGCAGAUCCUCCCUCCAGCUGGCCAGGAGGGCUGGCAUAGUCGGCUCUUCCAGAGGUGGCAACUCUGAGGCAAGUCGUCACGCGAGAGCACCGUGGGGAUGUCGUGCUCUGUGAUAGGAGGAGUCUAGGUUAACAGGAAGGAUUUCAGCAAGGAUCCAAGGCUAAGAGAAAGAGCCAAGAUCAAAUGAUACACUUCUACUACAGCCCUGCCAAGAGAUGGCCAGGAAAGAGGCUUUCUGACAGCCAAUGGCUGAGGUCGUGAGCAGGAGGCAGCAGAGGGUCCUGGAGGGAGGCAGCUGAGAGUCAGGAAAGAAGUGAGAAAUCCUGCCUGCAUGUCACAAACAUUCCGUUUCCUUCACCUCCGCCCUUUGUUGGGGCCUGCCACAUGGUUGUCCAGCCCUGCAACUUGCCCACAUGCCACUGGGAGAGACAGAGACGUUUGAACGCAAAACUGCACUGCAGCGUGACGCGUGCACUAGACAAAAACGCACGUUCAAGGUUGCACUGAAGCAUCCUGGGGCAGGACGACUUGGCUCAUCAUCCAUGUGAGGUGACUUUUGAAUGUCCGUAGUUAUUCUCAGCUGAGAUUUAGGGCGGGGCCAGUCUCCAUUUCUUCUUCCUGCAUUACCGACUUUGAAAGGCCUGCUCCUCUGACUAUUCGAUUAGUAUUUAGCAUUGAAGCCUCUAAAACAUUUUCUUCCACGGAAUAAUGUGCCCAUUCACUGAGCACAGAGUUAUUAAAGACAGCACCACUGCUUAGCUUCCAAUUCUCCCUCCUGCUAGGAGAGUGGGCACAUUAAAGAUUCCUAAGAGCUGGAAACUUUGAGGCUCUUUUUGCAGUUAAGUUGAAAAAACAACGAGGUGAAAAGCCCUGAGCACCCACCACGUGAACCAUGCUCUUGAACAUUCUGCAGAGGCUGAAUACAACCCUUUAAACAAACACCUGGCCCAGACACAGCCCAGCAAAACUGAAACGUACUGCUGUCCAACAGAGCCACCUCCACAGAGAAAAGACGUACCAAGCUGCAGAGUCCUGUGCAUCUGUUCGCGUGUCCUACACAACCCAUCUUACCAAAUGGUGGACAGUCAGAAACCCAUCCCCCAGGGCAACGGGAGCAAGAUGUGAGGGGAACCGCAUUGCCUUCUAUCAUCAGUGCAAAUGCUCGUGGAACAAAUGAGUGAAUCCUAUCCCAGGAUGUGCCUAAAGUGAGAACCAAUUUUGCCAUUCCAGAUUUGAGAUCCUUCAGUGGCUCCUGCUGGAGACAAUACAAAAUCUAGAACACAGCAUAAAGGACCUUCAUGACCUGGUUGAUGCUUAUCUGUCACUCUCUGUCCCCCUGUAGCUGCCCUCUCUCUGCUACACUCAAUGUGGUGGUCAUUACCACUAGCAACAAAUACUUCCUGGUCUCCUUUGGGACACAUAGAAGGACUGUGCUCGCCUCCCCUGCUGGCUUUAGGUGUGGCUCUGUGCCUGACACGGGCCUAUACAACGUACGCAGAAGUGAUACAUGUCAUUUUGGAGUGGAAGUUCUACACAUCAGUGUGUGACGUGUGGUUCUGUCUUUCCCUCUGCACAGCCAUGGCCAAAUUUCUAGAGAGUGGCCACUCCAUCAGCCUGAAUCCCAGAGAAAGGGUGACGUGGAACAGAUCCCCCAACCAGCCCCUGUAGGAUUUAGAUAAAGGGAAGAAAUGAACCAUUUUUAUUGUGAGUCACUGAAUUUGGGGUUGUUUGUGAUAAAAGUGUAAGCUAGCCCAUCCUGGCUAUUGCUCUCAACUUGAACUUCCCCAGGUUGGCCACGCUAUCUUAUAUCUGGGCAUUGGCACAUGCUGUUCAUUCAGGAAUGGACCAUUUACACUGUCCCCCUGCCCCCCAUGCCAGUCCUGCUUCAUCUCAAUAAUUUCUGCUCAUCUUUUAGGACCCUGGAAAGUCUGCCCCCAACCUCCCUCCUGAGACAGGGUGAAAUAUUCCUCCUCCUUGAUUCUACUUGUCUCCAUGGUUCUCCUCACCCUAGUGCUUGGCAAAUUGAGCUGUAAUUGCCUGUUGAAUGGUCAGUCUCAGCUCAUCAACUGUAGGCUCCUUGAGGGAUCGAGAUGAUUAUCAUUUCUAUGGGCAUAUUCCCAUAGGCUAGGAGGCCACCAGGUACCUGGGAUACAAAUAUAACAUAAACUUUUAUUGGAUGAAUUAAUGAGUGAAGGAAUGAAAAAUAAAUAAAUAGCAGUAGGAAUAUUCUUAUUCAUGAUUUGCAGGGCUGGGUACUGGUCAAGAAAUACUGUACUGAAUGCUUGCUGUUCUUAUCUAAUCUCACUACCUUCUGCAGUAGGUGACCUGGCCCUUGUUCAAACAGGGGAAACUGAAACUCAGAGAAAGGUAGAAAUGGACUUGAGGCCACAGAGGCAAAAGGAGACAGAGGGAGAUUCAGUCUCUGGUUUCAACACUCCCAAGCCCAACUUCCUUUCCUUGUCUACAGCCAGAAAUUGAGCCAUAUUAUCCCUUUCCCUAGUGGCUAAGGCAACAGAGACAGGACCCACUGGACAGACCAGGGAUUUGCCUGCACGGUGGCCACUGCUGCCUGAGGGAAGUGUGAGGCAGGUGUGGAAGCUACUGAGCACAGCUGGUGCCUGUGCUGCCCCGUGCCUCCCUCUUGGCCUCUGUUCAACCAUAAUGGUUUCCUAGUUUCUCCCUGUGACUUCUCUUUGGUUAUUCUAAUAGACUCAUGGAAGCCAUGAGGUGGAAGGGACGUCAGCACCAUGGAGCCCACCUUUCAUGCAACUGUAGGGAGAGUGAGGUGUCUAGCCCCUGCCUGAACCCACCUAGGGACCUGAGCUCAUACCUGUAUUUCGGAUGUGGAGAGGUGCAGUGACCCCUGGCCUGGCCCAGCCUGCCGGCUUCCACUCCUCCAGCUCCAAACCCUUCAUGCGUCUCUCCAGAAUGGAGUCUACCUUAUGUCACUCCCCUGCUCAUCAUUACUAUUACUGUCGCUGUUGUCAAGGGUAACAGAAGUAGAUGAUGAUGAUGAUGACGAUGACACCUGUCAUUUAUUGAGGAUCUGUGCACCAAGUGUGGGGCUGGAAAAUGCAGCUGGAAGCAGAGAAAAGCACAUGGAAGAGCCACUUGCAGUAGUGGUUGGAGGUCCCAAGUGGUAACACACAAAAGCGAAUAUUUGGAAAAGAAGACACAAUCGGAAGGUGCAUGAGAAUGUACAUCUGUAUCCCUGUAGAGAGUGGCUUCUGGAAGCCAGACAGAGAAGAGGCUGGGAAUGGGUCAACAGGAUGGGAAUGGCUGGGACCUGGGCGCCAUCUCCUAGAGCUUCAGAUGGACCAGAGUUUACACCAAGCCCCCUGCAUUUUAGAUGCUCAGAAAAUACUUGUCCUUGGUUGAAUGUCCAGCUACCAUCCAUUGGGGAGAGUCUAGAGAGGGUCUAGUGAAUCACUUGGACCAGGUCACCUCCCUUGCCUCACCCCCAUAGGCUGAGUUGCAUUGAACACCCAUAAAGGAUCCGAGCUCUGAAGUCAGAGACACCUGUGUUCAUGUCCCAAGUCCAGGACCUACUGGGUCUGUAACCUUGAGCAAACUCUAGAAACUCUCCGAGCAUCAAUUUCACAUUAGAAAGUGGGAUAAUACUGGUUUCUACUUCAUAAGUUACUUUUGAAAAUUAAAUAAGCUAGGAUAUGUGCAAAGGAUCAAUAGAACAUACUCAGGUUCUGCCUAUGGCUUCUUAAAACACAGUUUCUGCAGCUAAAAAAAGUCUGAAAAUCAUUGGCCUAGAUGUUUAGCCAUAGGAAAAUGGCCAAAUAAAUUAGGCUCGGCUACUUGAUGGACCAUGAUGUAGUCAUUAAAGACUAUAAUUAGAAGGACUGUGUAGCAACCUGAGAUGUGCUUAUGAUGUAUUAAGCGAAAAGUAAAAUAUACAAUGUAAUAGGAUGCAGGUGGACACAGAUGAGAAGAAAAGACGUAAAGAGAGCAAUGUCAGAGCUGAUUUCUAGUGUCAAUAUUGAAAAGGUACUUUUCGAAUUAAAAAGAUAAAUGAAACUGUCA